AGUAGACCUGAUUGCACUAGUAUAGGACAGGAGUAGGCGGGAUAGAUGCCAAUUAUAAAACCACAUGGAAGCAGUAGGAUUGACCCCAAUUAAAUCCAUAGUAAAGAAUCAGACAUCGGAGCAGACUCCGUUUGUGGAGAGGAGAGGAAAUAUGUACUUUGAAACCAUAGAAGGAAUCAGCUUGAAAGAGUCUUAGGGGAGAUCAAACUUUUGAUUACGGUUAGCGGUGAAAUUGAAUCUUCGGCUUUGGAGAUAGAGACAGUUGACAGCUCCUGCUAAGCCUCUCCUAGUCGUCAUGUAUUGUUAUCGAGUAGCCUCUCCUGGUCGUUAAGUAUUGUUAUCGAGUUGGCAGUAUACUGAGGGCUAAACAUGUUGUUGGAGCGCUUUAACAUGGCCAUCACACGGAGAUGCGAACAAAGCUCACGAUCAUAGGAGCUAUGAACUUAAGCACUUAGAGCUAAUCGUCUCCUAGUGGUAAGACAAGAAGAAGCUUCAAGGGACGAAGAUGUACACGGCAAACAACCAGGAGCUAAGGCUUCAGCUCAACAACAGACUGCAAAAUAAUUGACCAAGUAUGGAACUCCAGAGCUGCAACUCGAUCAAAUCACCUCCCGAUAGUUGCUGAGUAUCUGAUACCUCCGAACAUCAGGAGAACAACUUUUAGCGAUAAAUGAUACUUUUGAGUCGACUCUUUCAAAAGAUUCAGAUGCUGAAUUCGGUUUUUUCGGUGUUCUCGUUGAAACACGCGGGCAUACUCAUUCCCUCUGGGGACAUUGAUCCAAAGCUCGAGUAAGGUUUGUGCGUCGUUUUUCUUCUCUACUAUGACGAAUCAACAACAUUUAUAUCAUUCAUAGACGGAUAUUCUUGUUUUGGGCACCUAUAUUCAAUCUAUUAAAAGUCUGGGGCUUUAUGAUACGCUCGGAUUUUGCACGGUUUUAAGGCCAUUAUUUGAUCUGUUUUUAAUGUCAAAAUUACAAUUCAUGUCCAUAUUUUGUAUGUUUUAUCUAUUUUGGUAUUUUGACAUGUUUUGUGAGAAAUGUGCAUAUUUGAGCCCAAAAAGAUAGCUAGAAGACGAAGUUGGAAAUCUGAAGAUUGUGGGAGCGUCCAGCGACCGCUGCAACACCGUCGGCCACCACUGGCGCUCAACAACCACUAAGUCAGUAGCGCCCCGCUCCGGGAAAGUUGUGCAUGGAAUGAAGACACGCCCAGCGACUGCUGGGAAGGGCGUGGCGACCGCUACAAAGAGUCUAGAAAGUUACGGGAUGAUAGCCAACGAUCGCUGAAACAAGUGCAGCGACCGCUGCCCAAGAGUCAGAAGCCUCGGACCAACCCACAACGACCAGUGGCCAAGGUGCAGCGGCCCGCUGGGAAAAAGCGGCGAGCAAUUUUUGCCCUACUUUCUCUCCAAGAUUUACGAUAUUUUGCAACCAUUUUCCUUAUUGGAAGAUGUCGAAUUUUCAGCUAUAAAUACCCCCUCAAGCUUUAUUAUUAGGAUCCUCUUUUUGUAACAUAUUUUCUAGAGAUUAAAAGUUAGAGUACUUCAUUGUGCAAGGAGUUGAAGAAAUAUUCAAGAUCAUCAAAGCUACAAGAUUCAACCUUUGGGUUU
Molecule: long non-coding RNA, 1606 nt
Organism: Salvia splendens (bonfire salvia)
Lineage: Eukaryota; Viridiplantae; Streptophyta; Magnoliopsida; Lamiales; Lamiaceae
Exons: 4
Source: RefSeq, a predicted model, not a curated record